This 650-nucleotide ribosomal RNA is filed under the name Lactobacillus sp. oral taxon 461. RNAcentral's name for it is "bacterial SSU rRNA". It matches the Rfam family "Bacterial small subunit ribosomal RNA", at positions 384 to 1024 of the family's 1533-position model. Lineage: Bacteria; Bacillati; Bacillota; Bacilli; Lactobacillales; Lactobacillaceae. The record is from RNAcentral.
UGAUGGAGCAACGCCGCGUGAGUGAAGAAGGUUUUCGGAUGCGUAAAGCUCUGUUGUUGGUGAAGAAGGAUAGAGGUAGUAACUGGCCUUUAUUUGACGGUAAUCAACCAGAAAGUCACGGCUAACUACGUGCCAGCAGCCGCGGUAAUACGUAGGUGGCAAGCGUUGUCCGGAUUUAUUGGGCGUAAAGCGAGCGCAGGCGGAAAAAUAAGUCUAAUGUGAAAGCCCUCGGCUUAACCGAGGAACUGCAUCGGAAACUGUUUUUCUUGAGUGCAGAAGAGGAGAGUGGAACUCCAUGUGUAGCGGUGGAAUGCGUAGAUAUAUGGAAGAACACCAGUGGCGAAGGCGGCUCUCUGGUCUGCAACUGACGCUGAGGCUCGAAAGCAUGGGUAGCGAACAGGAUUAGAUACCCUGGUAGUCCAUGCCGUAAACGAUGAGUGCUAAGUGUUGGGAGGUUUCCGCCUCUCAGUGCUGCAGCUAACGCAUUAAGCACUCCGCCUGGGGAGUACGACCGCAAGGUUGAAACUCAAAGGAAUUGACGGGGGCCCGCACAAGCGGUGGAGCAUGUGGUUUAAUUCGAAGCAACGCGAAGAACCUUACCAGGUCUUGACAUCUAGUGCCAUCUUCAGAGAUGAAGAGUUCCCUUCGGG